Helicoverpa zea (corn earworm) is the source of this 478-nucleotide long non-coding RNA. RefSeq lists it as uncharacterized. NCBI's taxonomy places the organism in Eukaryota, Metazoa, Arthropoda, Insecta, Lepidoptera, Noctuidae. The transcript is spliced from 3 exons. The record is from RefSeq and is a predicted model, not a curated record.
AACACAAGUUGAACAUUUCUGCCAUUUUUCUCUCUACCUCUGUUUGCAUUUUUCAGUUUUUUAGAUAAUUGAAAUAAACAGUCAUAACCCAAAACAAUGAAAAGUAAACUGGACAAACGAACCGAAUGAUUUAUACUAGCAUAUGUUUAACAUUAGAGGUAGGUAUGUGCAAAGUCAAAAAUAUUACAAUGACUGGCAUAAUGUGGUUCUACCAAAAUUCUUGAUUCAAACGCUUCACGUCUGUCUUCGCGUCAUUUCAUCGAGUCUUUUAUAUCGAGCACGAGUGAACCCAAGUGUCUUUGAUAACUGACGAGUAGUAGAGGCAGGUGCAAAAUGUUGUUCCUGCUAUGUGCUAUGUCCUGUAGGGUGCGAGCGCAGAUAACGUCUCGACGGGUCCCACAGGGCGGUAGCUGCCGCGGUUCUCACACGCUGUCCAGUGCCCGAGGCGGAUGAAACAGUACCCUACAACAUAUAAAAA